ACGGGGUGCAGCAGGCGCGAAACCUGGCCAAUGAGCGCAAGCUUGAGCCGGUUAAACCGAGUGGGGUCCUAACGGGUCCCUUUUAACGAGUGUUAGUAGCUCGUUGAAUAAGGAGAGGGCAAGACUGGUGCCAGCCGCCGCGGUAAGACCAGCUCUUCGAGUGGUGGGCGUGCUUACUGGGCCUAAAGCAUCCGUAGCCGGGUCUGCAAGUCCACAGUUAAAGCCCACGUCUUAAGCGUGGAAUCGCUGUGGAUACUACAGACCUUGGGAUCGGGAGAGGCGUGAGGUACGUUUCGGGUAGGGGUGAAAUCCGAUAAUCCGAAACGGACCACCGGUGGCGAAGGCGUCACGCUAGAACGAGUCCGACGGUCAGGGAUGAAAGCCAGGGGAGCGAGCCGGAUUAGAUACCCGGGUAGUCCUGGCUGUAAACGAUGCCCGCUAAGUGUUGCGCAUGGCACGACUAUGCGCAGUGCCGAAGGGAAGCCGCUAAGCGGGCCGCCUGGGAGUACGUCGCAAGAC
This 519-nucleotide ribosomal RNA is filed under the name uncultured archaeon. RNAcentral describes it as "bacterial SSU rRNA". It matches the Rfam family "Archaeal small subunit ribosomal RNA", at positions 325 to 849 of the family's 1478-position model. The record is from RNAcentral.